Cucumis sativus (cucumber) is the source of this 1320-nucleotide RNA transcript. It is a transcript of the gene named iron-sulfur assembly protein IscA-like 2, mitochondrial, with no coding region annotated. The transcript has 6 exons. The record is from RefSeq and is a predicted model, not a curated record. NCBI's taxonomy places the organism in Eukaryota, Viridiplantae, Streptophyta, Magnoliopsida, Cucurbitales, Cucurbitaceae.
GAAAAAAGAAAAAAGAAAAAAAAAGCAAAAUAAAAAUCAAACACAAUAAUCCCACAUCCCAAUUCUCAAUCGUCCCCUCCGAGGCCCCCGCAAGUCUCCAUCAGCCUUCACGCGCCGCCCCGACUCCUCCUGCUCGGUCCCUGCCGCCGUCGCUUCUCCUUCUUUCUCUCCAUGCCGCGUCGCAGCUCUGUUCUUCAUCUCUGAUUGUCGUCGGCUGCUACACCCUUUCGUCUCAGGUCUCAGAUAACAAUCUAAACUGAAGUGGAGAGCACGAAGGGAUGGGCCCUAGAUCACUAAUUCAGAGGGUAACACCAUACUUGGUGGCACGUAUCAAGGAGAAUCAAAGGCUUCUUAGCUCUUCUGCUUCAGCCUAUCAAGAAGCAUUGCCUUUGUCUCCAUCUCCAUCCCCAUCUGCCCCUGUUGAUACCAUUCACAUGACUGAUAGUUGCAUUCGGAGAAUGAAAGAAUUGCAAGAUCCCAAGGAAGAAAAGAUGCUUCGCUUGAGUGUAGAAACUGGGGGGUGUUCUGGAUUUCAAUAUGUUUUCAAUUUGGAUGGAAAAACCAAUCCUGAUGAUAGGAUAUAUGAGAAAGAGGGAGUUAAAUUGGUAGUUGAUAACAUCUCAUACGAUUUUGUAAAAGGAGCAACAAUUGAUUAUGUUGAAGAGCUGAUUCGUUCUGCUUUUGUUGUGAGUACAAAUCCAAGUGCCGUUGGUGGGUGUAGUUGUAAAAGUUCUUUCAUGGUCAAACAAUAAUCAUCUCAAAGCUUCCUUCAGUUGGACCCUUUCCUACAAGGCGUACACAAUUAUCAACGCUGACCUGAAGGACAAAGAAAUGUGUAGGGUCCCCUUACUUGAAAACAUGUCCUAAGGUAUGAGUUUGUGGACAAUAAAGGUGGAAGCCAUGAUGGCAAAGCACAUGCUUACUGCACAAACAAAAUAGUAUCACAUUAUGAAGCUUACACCUUUUCAUUUCAUAUUUGGUUAUAAAAUGGAAACUUAUGGUAAACCAAUGACAUUAUGAGUUUGGAAUUUUGGUGAUUUUUGGUUUUGAAAUGAUCACGCCAUCUUUCUUCUUUCUCCAUUCUUAUCUUUUACGAUGGAUUAUAAACUUUUCUUUUCCAAGCAGUGUUUUAAAAAGCUCUCUUCACCAUAGACGCAUUUGGAGGCAGACCUUUUGUGAAGCUCCAACCCUCUAAACUUUUGGUUCUGAGGCUUUAUCGUUUUUUAAAAUAGUUAUAAUUAAAAUGUUUACCUUUCAAGGUUUGGACUUUGGAGUCUCACUUUUCGUAAGACUCACAAAAUAAGGUCAACCUUUUGUGAA